This is a small nuclear RNA of Zingiber officinale, 193 nucleotides long. RefSeq annotates it as U2 spliceosomal RNA. The transcript has a single exon. The record is from RefSeq and is a predicted model, not a curated record. NCBI's taxonomy places the organism in Eukaryota, Viridiplantae, Streptophyta, Magnoliopsida, Zingiberales, Zingiberaceae.
CUAAUUUAUGGACGGUCUAUUGGCUAAUAUUAAGUAUAGUAUUUAUUCUUAUUAGUUUAAUAUCUGAUAUAAAGAAUUAAAUUAAUUUUUUAUAAAAGAGAGUAUGUUACUCGCAAGUGUUUAUGUAUUAUAUUGUACACGCAAGCAGGGGUGGAGCCACGCAGUUGGCCCACCUCAAUUUUUUGUAAUCCUU